GUAAAUUAUAUUAAUAUAUAAAUAUAAGAUCACGAAUGGACUCGAGCUAAUUGAACAUAUGUUGUAGCAUAAAAUUAAUGUGUUGCAACACAUUAUGGAAAUAACCAAUUAGGGGUGAUAGGCUUAACAAGAGUUCGGAUAUCUUGAUUAUUAGGAAAUAUAUUAAGUAUAUAAAACAUAUUAAUAAUGGUGAGAUUGUUAAUUAUUAUUAAUAUUAUUUAAUUAUAUAUAUUAGAAUUAAUUUUUAAUAUAUACCAAAUUUAUUAUAAUUUCUGGAUAUAUUAUAUAAAGUACUAAUAAAUGUGACAACGCUCUGAUAUAUUUUGAUUGUUUACAUAAGUAAAAUAAUAUAUAUUGUGAAGGAACUCGGCAAACAUGUGCUCAACUGUUUAACAAAAACAUAGCUAUGUGGGAUUAUAUAUAGUGUUUUCUGCUCAAUGGGUACUAAAUAGCCGCAGUAACUUGACUGUGCAAAGGUAGCAUAAUAAUUUGGCUUAUAAUUGAAGUCUGGUAUGAAUGAAUAUAUGGGUACCAACUGUCUCCACUAUAUAACAUGAAUUUACUGAUUGGGUGCAAAUUCCCAUUUCAAGAUAAUAGACGAGAAGACCCUAGAAAUUUUCAAUUACACUUUUUGCUGGGGCGGCAGAAUAACACAAAACUUAUUUUACUAUAUUAUCUAAUAUAUUAUGGAAAAACAAUUACUCUAGGGAUAACAGCAUAAUUUAUUUAGUUUGUGACCUCGAUGUUGGACUAAGGUAAUUAUUAUUCAGAAGAUAGUAAUUGAUGCUCUGUUCGAGCAAAACUUCCUUACAUGAUCUGAGUUCAGACCGG
This 831-nucleotide ribosomal RNA is filed under the name Helicodonta obvoluta. Its description in RNAcentral is "partial 16S ribosomal RNA". The stretch from base 343 to 584 matches the Rfam family "Archaeal large subunit ribosomal RNA", at positions 1787 to 2143 of the family's 2987-position model. The record is from RNAcentral. Lineage: Eukaryota; Metazoa; Mollusca; Gastropoda; Stylommatophora; Helicodontidae.